RNAcentral lists this ribosomal RNA (925 nucleotides) under Chaetothyriales sp. CR07/3-1. RNAcentral describes it as "eukaryotic LSU rRNA". It matches the Rfam family "Eukaryotic large subunit ribosomal RNA", at positions 1 to 943 of the family's 3401-position model. The record is from RNAcentral. Lineage: Eukaryota; Fungi; Ascomycota; Eurotiomycetes; Chaetothyriales.
GUUGACCUCGGAUCAGGUAGGAAUACCCGCUGAACUUAAGCAUAUCAAUAAGCGGAGGAAAAGAAACCAACAGGGAUUGCCUCAGUAACGGCGAGUGAAGCGGCAACAGCUCAAAUUUGAAAUCUGGCCUCACGGUCCGAGUUGUAAUUUGUAGAGGAUGUUUUGGGCACCGCCUCGGGUUAAAUUUCUUGGAACAGAAUGUCAAAGAGGGUGAGAGUCCCGUCUUGGCCCGCGGUAGGACCUAUGUAAAACUCCUUCGACGAGUCGACUUGUUUGGGAAUGCAGGUCAAAAUGGGUGGUAAAUUUCAUCUAAAGCUAAAUAUUGGCCAGAGACCGAUAGCGCACAAGUAGAGUGAUCGAAAGAUGAAAAGCACUUUGAAAAGAGAGUUAAACAGUAUGUGAAAUUGUUGAAAGGGAAGCGCUGGCAACCAGACUCGAGCGCGGUGUUCCCCCUGGCUUCUGCCUGGGUUACUUCACCGUGACCGGGCCAUCAUCAGUUUUGGGGGCCGGUCAAAGGUCCGGGGAAUGUAUCCUCUCCUUCGGGGGAGGACUUAUAGCCCCGGGCGUCAUGCGGCCUCCCGGGACUGAGGAACGCGCUUCGGCGAGGAUGAUGGCGUAAUGGUUGUCAGCGACCCGUCUUGAAACACGGACCAAGGAGUCUAACAUCUAUGCAAGUGUUCGGGUGUCAAACCCUUGCGCGGAAUGAAAGUGAACGGAGGUAGGAAGGCCUGAGCCUGCACUAUCGACCGAUCCUGAUGUCUUCGGAUGGAUUUGAGUAAGAGCAUAGCUGUUGGGACCCGAAAGAUGGUGAACUAUGCGUGAAUAGGGUGAAGCCAGAGGAAACUCUGGUGGAGGCUCGCAGCGGUUCUGACGUGCAAAUCGAUCGUCAAAUUUGCGUAUAGGGGCGAAAGACUAAUCGAACCAU